This is a long non-coding RNA of Passer domesticus (house sparrow), 1769 nucleotides long. RefSeq lists it as uncharacterized. Lineage: Eukaryota; Metazoa; Chordata; Aves; Passeriformes; Passeridae. The transcript has 3 exons. The record is from RefSeq and is a predicted model, not a curated record.
AGUGGAAUGACACUUGGCACUACAAUGUCCCAGUUAUCUUUUUCUGAAGGAGUAGGAAAACUGCAGAACUAAAUAUUGAGUCAAGCUGCGUGGGCAGAGCUCCUGUGUCAGAGCUGUGCUGACGUCACAGCCGCAGCGUGACAUCACAGGCUGUAUAUGAAAAGCCAGAGCAUCACCCAAGCUCUAUGUGUUAUUGAAAACCUCAGUAGCAUUUAUUGAAAACUUACAUGGGGUUUUCUUUUCCCAUUCCCUUAAUGUGAGGAGUUUAGCCACACAGCUAAGGGGAGAGUGUGUAGCUCAACUGCCUUGCAACACUGUGUGCUGCUCUGAAAAAAAAGGUGUCAUUGAACCCAGAGUUUGAACUCUACUGCACUUGCUGUGCCCUUCCUAAAAGUAUCUACAAAAACAAGCUCUGCAGUGCUUAACAGCUUGUUACCGAGGGACCUACUCAUGGAGUGCAUGGAAAUCCAAGUUAGUGAAAGACAUGGAAAAACAUGUUUAAACAGAUCACAGCUGAAGCUGAGACCUUAAUCUUUCUGAGACAGAAGGUAGCCAGCACAGGCUCAGCUGUUCCAUCAGGAAAGGUGGUGAAAUGAGAGCCCUCCACGAUCUGCAUGCAGCCAGUGCUUCCCUGGUACACAGCUUCUCACACAGGCAGAAGCAGAGGGGCUGAAAGAAAGACGUUGUCUUGGUGCUCAUGAGGAGUCUGUAGCGUGCUGGGUGUGAGCAAGAGCUGUGGAGUUCAGUAGAGAGUAAAUCCAUCUUGCCCCAGAGUGCUCAGUUGUCCUUCCUCAUUGUCCUCUCUCAGGGCAAGGAAGCACUACAUCCAGGUCACAGCCACCUCCAGGACUGCUGUCAGUCUGCAGAAGUAUCUCAAAAGCAUCGUGCAUCUCAUUGUCUCACAGGACCCAAGGAUAAACCACCAUGUUCUCAUGCUGUUUAAAUGCUUCUAAAAAGCCCAGAGGCAGCAGUAGCACUCCCAAGCCCCUGUGUACUUUAGACAAGUGAGCUUGCAUAGAAUUUAGGAUCCUUAAAGCAUGUUAGUUUGUUUUAGACUGUCUUGAAAAUGCUACUAUUCUGUUUGGGGAAAAAACUUAAUGUCUCCAGCAGAGAUGCAGUCUUGUGUGGCAUGACAAGGAAGCCCAGACAUGAUCUGGGGCACUGGGGCACCCAAAGCCCUUGCUCAGGUCUUUUGUAAGUAGAUGGUUUACCUUGUGUAUUUUCAAUUUCUAUUCCUUUUAGUGAUGCUAAGGCGAGAAGAGAAAUCCAUACCCUCCCCCCAAAUUUUGAAAAUACCAGCAGAAACAUUUCAGUAGCUGGUGAUGAUUUCACUGUAGAGACAGACUUGAGGGAUGAUGGCUUUUUGUUUCGUAAAAUGCUUUAACUUCCUAAAAUAGUUAUUUUUAAAAACCUGAUUCCAAACCACUUUCCUUUCUGAAACACUUUUGUAAGUGAAAUUACACGUUCAAGUUCUCUCAGUGGUUUUAGUAGAACAAAACACUUGAACCCCAGUAGCUUUUGCUAAAGGCUUUCAGAGCUACUAACAUCUAGAAAGUCUGUUUUUGCAUGGGGCUAAUUAGAGCCCAUAAAAGAAUAAGAGAAAUUAAACCCAACAAUGCAGUUCAACUGCAGUGCUAAGAUCUUGCAAUUAAACUGUGCUGUUGGUUUGUGCAUAUUAGCACAUGAAUUACUCUUUAAGUGAUAAAUGUUGAACCAAAUAAUUAUCUAAAGCUUUUGGGAAGGAAUAAUGAAUAAGGUGAGGCUGAGAA